GGGUUGUGAGGUUAAGCGACUAAGCGUACACGGUGGAUGCCCUGGCAGUCAGAGGCGAUGAAGGACGUGCUAAUCUGCGAUAAGCGUCGGUAAGGUGAUAUGAACCGUUAUAACCGGCGAUUUCCGAAUGGGGAAACCCAGUGUGAUUCGUCACACUAUCAUUAACUGAAUCCAUAGGUUAAUGAGGCGAACCGGGGGAACUGAAACAUCUAAGUACCCCGAGGAAAAGAAAUCAACCGAGAUUCCCCCAGUAGCGGCGAGCGAACGGGGAGCAGCCCAGAGCCUGAAUCAGUGUGUGUGUUAGUGGAAGCGUCUGGAAAGGCGUGCGAUACAGGGUGACAGCCCCGUACACAAAAAUGCACAUGCUGUGAGCUCGAUGAGUAGGGCGGGACACGUGGUAUCCUGUCUGAAUAUGGGGGGACCAUCCUCCAAGGCUAAAUACUCCUGACUGACCGAUAGUGAACCAGUACCGUGAGGGAAAGGCGAAAAGAACCCCGGCGAGGGGAGUGAAAAAGAACCUGAAACCGUGUACGUACAAGCAGUGGGAGCCUCUUUUAUGGGGUGACUGCGUACCUUUUGUAUAAUGGGUCAGCGACUUAUAUUCUGUAGCAAGGUUAACCGAAUAGGGGAGCCGAAGGGAAACCGAGUCUUAACUGGGCGUUAAGUUGCAGGGUAUAGACCCGAAACCCGGUGAUCUAGCCAUGGGCAGGUUGAAGGUUGGGUAACACUAACUGGAGGACCGAACCGACUAAUGUUGAAAAAUUAGCGGAUGACUUGUGGCUGGGGGUGAAAGGCCAAUCAAACCGGGAGAUAGCUGGUUCUCCCCGAAAGCUAUUUAGGUAGCGCCUCGUGAAUUCAUCUCCGGGGGUAGAGCACUGUUUCGGCAAGGGGGUCAUCCCGACUUACCAACCCGAUGCAAACUGCGAAUACCGGAGAAUGUUAUCACGGGAGACACACGGCGGGUGCUAACGUCCGUCGUGAAGAGGGAAACAACCCAGACCGCCAGCUAAGGUCCCAAAGUCAUGGUUAAGUGGGAAACGAUGUGGGAAGGCCCAGACAGCCAGGAUGUUGGCUUAGAAGCAGCCAUCAUUUAAAGAAAGCGUAAUAGCUCACUGGUCGAGUCGGCCUGCGCGGAAGAUGUAACGGGGCUAAACCAUGCACCGAAGCUGCGGCAGCGACACUAUGUGUUGUUGGGUAGGGGAGCGUUCUGUAAGCCUGUGAAGGUGUGCUGUGAGGCAUGCUGGAGGUAUCAGAAGUGCGAAUGCUGACAUAAGUAACGAUAAAGCGGGUGAAAAGCCCGCUCGCCGGAAGACCAAGGGUUCCUGUCCAACGUUAAUCGGGGCAGGGUGAGUCGACCCCUAAGGCGAGGCCGAAAGGCGUAGUCGAUGGGAAACAGGUUAAUAUUCCUGUACUUGGUGUUACUGCGAAGGGGGGACGGAGAAGGCUAUGUUGGCCGGGCGACGGUUGUCCCGGUUUAAGCGUGUAGGCUGGUUUUCCAGGCAAAUCCGGAAAAUCAAGGCUGAGGCGUGAUGACGAGGCACUACGGUGCUGAAGCAACAAAUGCCCUGCUUCCAGGAAAAGCCUCUAAGCAUCAGGUAACAUCAAAUCGUACCCCAAACCGACACAGGUGGUCAGGUAGAGAAUACCAAGGCGCUUGAGAGAACUCGGGUGAAGGAACUAGGCAAAAUGGUGCCGUAACUUCGGGAGAAGGCACGCUGAUAUGUAGGUGAAGUCCCUCGCGGAUGGAGCUGAAAUCAGUCGAAGAUACCAGCUGGCUGCAACUGUUUAUUAAAAACACAGCACUGUGCAAACACGAAAGUGGACGUAUACGGUGUGACGCCUGCCCGGUGCCGGAAGGUUAAUUGAUGGGGUCAGCGCAAGCGAAGCUCUUGAUCGAAGCCCCGGUAAACGGCGGCCGUAACUAUAACGGUCCUAAGGUAGCGAAAUUCCUUGUCGGGUAAGUUCCGACCUGCACGAAUGGCGUAAUGAUGGCCAGGCUGUCUCCACCCGAGACUCAGUGAAAUUGAACUCGCUGUGAAGAUGCAGUGUACCCGCGGCAAGACGGAAAGACCCCGUGAACCUUUACUAUAGCUUGACACUGAACAUUGAGCCUUGAUGUGUAGGAUAGGUGGGAGGCUUUGAAGUGUGGACGCCAGUCUGCAUGGAGCCGACCUUGAAAUACCACCCUUUAAUGUUUGAUGUUCUAACGUUGACCCGUAAUCCGGGUUGCGGACAGUGUCUGGUGGGUAGUUUGACUGGGGCGGUCUCCUCCUAAAGAGUAACGGAGGAGCACGAAGGUUGGCUAAUCCUGGUCGGACAUCAGGAGGUUAGUGCAAUGGCAUAAGCCAGCUUGACUGCGAGCGUGACGGCGCGAGCAGGUGCGAAAGCAGGUCAUAGUGAUCCGGUGGUUCUGAAUGGAAGGGCCAUCGCUCAACGGAUAAAAGGUACUCCGGGGAUAACAGGCUGAUACCGCCCAAGAGUUCAUAUCGACGGCGGUGUUUGGCACCUCGAUGUCGGCUCAUCACAUCCUGGGGCUGAAGUAGGUCCCAAGGGUAUGGCUGUUCGCCAUUUAAAGUGGUACGCGAGCUGGGUUUAGAACGUCGUGAGACAGUUCGGUCCCUAUCUGCCGUGGGCGCUGGAGAACUGAGGGGGGCUGCUCCUAGUACGAGAGGACCGGAGUGGACGCAUCACUGGUGUUCGGGUUGUCAUGCCAAUGGCACUGCCCGGUAGCUAAAUGCGGAAGAGAUAAGUGCUGAAAGCAUCUAAGCACGAAACUUGCCCCGAGAUGAGUUCUCCCUGACCCUUUAAGGGUCCUGAAGGAACGUUGAAGACGACGACGUUGAUAGGCCGGGUGUGUAAGCGCAGCGAUGCGUUGAGCUAACCGGUACUAAUGAACCGUGAGGCUUAACCUUACAACGCCGAAGCUGUU
This 2929-nucleotide ribosomal RNA is filed under the name Escherichia coli. RNAcentral's name for it is "23S ribosomal RNA". It matches the Rfam family "Bacterial large subunit ribosomal RNA". The record is from RNAcentral. Lineage: Bacteria; Pseudomonadati; Pseudomonadota; Gammaproteobacteria; Enterobacterales; Enterobacteriaceae.